This 1240-nucleotide long non-coding RNA is filed under the name Castor canadensis (American beaver). RNAcentral describes it as "lncRNA (ENSCCNG00000001550.1)". The record is from RNAcentral. Lineage: Eukaryota; Metazoa; Chordata; Mammalia; Rodentia; Castoridae.
AUGGAGAUACUUGGAGUGUCAUAUUUACUCACUGGCCCUACCGAACUGGUCAGCUGCCGUAUUAAAGGCUUACAUCUGGUAGCAGAAGUGCCAGGUGGCCACCUGGGGUUUGAGAGCUUCACUUUGCCAAAGCUGAGAGACUUAGGGAGGUGGUGGUUUGUUCUCUUGCUUGUUUUUUUGCUUAUGUGUUUGCAGGUUGUUUCCCUGAGGGGACAUGGAGGCUGGAGUGCAGGAUUUCAGUCACACGAGAGAGCCUUCUCAUGCACUAGCAUAGUGGCCAAUAUGGAUUAUGAUACACAUUUCAAUUUGUCAAGCUUUACUUCAUUUAAAAAGUUCCAAGAUGGCGAUGACAGACGUGCACCAUAGUCUUGCAUCUCCAUGAAUCUGAAGUAAAGCCUAAGGUAUGUGACUACAAGGAAAGGUGGGCGAUUUAGAAAGGGCUGCAUUGGCACUGCUGUGAAACAGUGCUGGUGACCAGAGGAAAUCAAGAAAUACCAGAACAAACAAAAGGACUUUCUGUGUCUCCAUGAACCUGAAACAGAAUCAUCAGGUUUGUGGUUGAGGGAGAGGACUGUGGUGAGGAAAAGUAAGGGAAGGCAACAGUAAGGCAGUGGACAGAAUGCAGAUGAAAUUCAGAAUUAAUUGAAUUUUGGACUUAGAAAAGAAGCAACGAACCCCAACACAGAGCUUUGACCAAAACACUAUGAAAGGGGAGAGGUUACAGAAACAGCCUGAAAGAACGAGAGAAGUCUGGGUGCGGUGGCUCAUGCCUGUAAUACCAUUUAUUUGGCAGGCAAAGAAGAUCUGGAGGAUUGUGGUUCGAGAGCAGCUGUGGCAAAAGGUUAGUGAGAUGCCAUCUCAACAAAUAGUCUUGAGUGUGAAGGAGGAGCACGCCUGUCACCUCAGCUAUGUGGGAGGUGUGUGUAAGCAGGAGGAUCACCGUCCAGGCCACCUGGGCCAGAAGGCGUGAGACCCUACCUGAAAAAUAGUAAAUGAGCAAAAGGGCUGGGGUUGUGGCUCAAGUGUUAGAGCGCUUGCCUAGCAAGUGCAAGGUCCUGAGUCCUGAGUUCAAAGCCUAGUCCUGGAAAAAAGGGAAACCAAAAAGGAAUGGGAGAAAAUUUUUUGCCAGCUAUUAAUUGGAUAAGGGAAUAGUAUCCAAUCCAGAAUAUAGAAAGAACACCAAGACAUUAACAGAGAACAAGAAAUAACCCGACUAAUAAAUGAGCAAGUGUAUUGAACA